This is a long non-coding RNA of Canis lupus familiaris (dog), 1363 nucleotides long. RefSeq lists it as uncharacterized. Lineage: Eukaryota; Metazoa; Chordata; Mammalia; Carnivora; Canidae. The record is from RefSeq and is a predicted model, not a curated record. The transcript is spliced from 5 exons.
AGGCCUGGGCUGGGACAGCUUGUUCCUCCCAGAAGCUACAAGAGGCCAGACUGGGAGCACAGGGGCUUUCCUACCGCCUGAGCCCCUGACUGGGCACCCAGCCCUGGGCCCUGCCCCCGCCCCCUUCCAGCACCCUGCAGGUACUGCUUGGGAAGUGUGCAUGUUUUAGCUCAUGCCCUGAGCUCAGGCUCCUGCCACAGGGAGACUCCAUCCAGCUCUGACUCCUGUCCAAAGGGCAUGCUCCCAAUUAUCUCAAUUGCUCCAACCAGUUCUGGCCAAACUGCCAACUCCUACAGGGAAUCCCUCCUGCUCACCCUCCCACUCUGGGGCAGCUUGGCAGGCGGCCAGCCACUGGAGCCAAUCAGCUGCCAGCCUCCAAGGAAACCCAGGUCCACAGGCAGACUCCAGACCCCCAUGGAGCUGUCGUGAAGAUGCUUUACCUCCUAGGAAGCCCCAGCUGGAAGCCCUUACCCACGGUGGUACAGCAGGAGAGAGGAGCCAGAGGUGGCAGGAUAUAAAGAGAGGUUGAAGACUAUGACAUAUAGCCUUGGGGACAUAGUUAAAACAAAAUCUACCUUUCUACAAUCGAUACAAGUGUAUUUUUAAAGCAGCGAAGCUGCAGGAACACGAACUACUCUCACACUCACCAAUGGAAGUACACAUUGCCCCAACUUCUACGGAGGACAACUUGGCGAUACUACUCAUAGUUACAAAUGUGUACCACCUUUGAUGCCACAAAACAACUUUUGGGAACCUAUUCUAUACACAUCCCUGCACAGCUACAAAAUGGAAUAUGUGCCUAAUUAUUCAAGGCACCAAAAGCCUCAAAACAACUCACAUCCUUCCAUGGGGGCCUGUUAAUAAUAAGUCAAUUCUGGAACGCCCAUAUAAUGGAAUACUCUGAACAAGUGGAAUGGAUUCCUUCUGAACUGACAGGGGGAGAUCUCUAAAGUGGUACUGUUGAGGGAAGAAAGUGAGGUUUGGAGCAGAAUGUGUAAAAUAGAAUAAAUGGUGUGUGUACACCUAUGUAUCUGCGCAUUUGUGCAGAAACAUACAUAAGAAAGUCAGAACGGAGAUGACCUGGUGACGGAGGGCUGGGAGGCUGGAGGGAAAUCUUGAAAACGGCUUCAAUUUCUUGGAUUUCAAAACACGCUAACAUAUUUAUUACCUAUUCAAAAAAUCAAAAACAAGAAUCCACAGCAAAUUAGGAAACACUAGACACAAAUAAUGCAAAAUUUCAAACAGGAGUUGAAGGAACAAUAUUCUAUGCCUUCCUGGCCAGGCACACUCACAUCACAUGGGGCCUGGCAUAUCCCUCAGCAUAUUCCAAAUGCAAUCCUGAAAGCUCCCCUUAAAAUAGAUC